RNAcentral lists this ribosomal RNA (368 nucleotides) under uncultured bacterium. RNAcentral describes it as "bacterial SSU rRNA". It matches the Rfam family "Bacterial small subunit ribosomal RNA", at positions 28 to 395 of the family's 1533-position model. The record is from RNAcentral.
GAUGAACGCUAGCGGGAGGCCUAAUACAUGCAAGUCGAACGGUAAGGUCCCUUCGGGGAUACACGAGUGGCGGACGGGUGCGUAACGCGUACGAAACAUACCUUCAACAGGGAGAUACCUCCGGGAAACUGGAAAUAAUACCCCAUAGUAUUGAGAUAUCGCAUGAUAUUUCAAUUAAAGCUUUGGCGGUUGAAGAUUGUCGUGCGUCUGAUUAGCUAGUUGGUGAGGUAACGGCUCACCAAGGCGACGAUCAGUAGCUGGUCUGAGAGGAUGAUCAGCCACACUGGAACUGAGACACGGUCCAGACUCCUACGGGAGGCAGCAGUAGGGAAUAUUGGGACAAUGGGCGGAAGCCGUGAUCCAGCCAU